This 449-nucleotide ribosomal RNA is filed under the name uncultured bacterium. Its description in RNAcentral is "partial 16S ribosomal RNA". It matches the Rfam family "Bacterial small subunit ribosomal RNA", at positions 29 to 523 of the family's 1533-position model. The record is from RNAcentral.
AACGAACGCUGGCGGCAUGCCUAACACAUGCAAGUCGAACGAGAUCUUCGGGUAUAGUGGCGCACGGGUGCGUAACGCGUGGGAAUCUGCCCUUUGGUUCGGAAUAACAGUUGGAAACGACUGCUAAUACCGGAUGAUGACGAAAGUCCAAAGAUUUAUCGCCAGAGGAUGAGCCCGCGUAGAAUUAGCUAGUUGGUGUGGUAAAGGCGCACCAAGGCGACGAUCCUUAGCUGGUCUGAGAGGAUGAUCAUCCACACUGGGACUGACAGACGGCGCAGAUUCCUACUGGAGUCAGCAGUGGGGAAUAGUGGACAGUGGGCGAGAGUCUGCUCCAGCAAUGCCGCGUGAGUGAUGAAGGCCUUAGGGUUGUAAAGCUCUUUUACCCGGGAUGAUAAUGACAGUACCGGGAGAAUAAGCUCCGGCUAACUCCGUGCCAGCAGCCGCCGUAA